This 1489-nucleotide ribosomal RNA is filed under the name uncultured bacterium. RNAcentral describes it as "bacterial SSU rRNA". It matches the Rfam family "Bacterial small subunit ribosomal RNA". The record is from RNAcentral.
AGAGUUUGAUCCUGGCUCAGGAUGAACGCUAGCUACAGGCUUAACACAUGCAAGUCGAGGGGCAGCAUGGUCUUAGCUUGCUAAGACUGAUGGCGACCGGCGCACGGGUGAGUAACACGUAUCCAACCUGCCGUCUACUCUUGGACAGCCUUCUGAAAGGAAGAUUAAUACAAGAUGGCAUCAUGAGUCCGCAUGUUCACAUGAUUAAAGGUAUUCCGGUAGACGAUGGGGAUGCGUUCCAUUAGAUAGUAGGCGGGGUAACGGCCCACCUAGUCUUCGAUGGAUAGGGGUUCUGAGAGGAAGGUCCCCCACAUUGGAACUGAGACACGGUCCAAACUCCUACGGGAGGCAGCAGUGAGGAAUAUUGGUCAAUGGGCGAGAGCCUGAACCAGCCAAGUAGCGUGAAGGAUGACUGCCCUAUGGGUUGUAAACUUCUUUUAUAAAGGAAUAAAGUCGGGUAUGCAUACCCGUUUGCAUGUACUUUAUGAAUAAGGAUCGGCUAACUCCGUGCCAGCAGCCGCGGUAAUACGGAGGAUCCGAGCGUUAUCCGGAUUUAUUGGGUUUAAAGGGAGCGUAGAUGGAUGUUUAAGUCAGUUGUGAAAGUUUGCGGCUCAACCGUAAAAUUGCAGUUGAUACUGGAUAUCUUGAGUGCAGUUGAGGCAGGCGGAAUUCGUGGUGUAGCGGUGAAAUGCUUAGAUAUCACGAAGAACUCCGAUUGCGAAGGCAGCCUGCUAAGCUGCAACUGACAUUGAGGCUCGAAAGUGUGGGUAUCAAACAGGAUUAGAUACCCUGGUAGUCUACACGGUAAACGAUGAAUACUCGCUGUUUGCGAUAUACGGCAAGCGGCCAAGCGAAAGCGUUAAGUAUUCCACCUGGGGAGUACGCCGGCAACGGUGAAACUCAAAGGAAUUGACGGGGGCCCGCACAAGCGGAGGAACAUGUGGUUUAAUUCGAUGAUACGCGAGGAACCUUACCCGGGCUUAAAUUGCAGAUGAAUUACGGUGAAAGCCGUAAGCCGCAAGGCAUCUGUGAAGGUGCUGCAUGGUUGUCGUCAGCUCGUGCCGUGAGGUGUCGGCUUAAGUGCCAUAACGAGCGCAACCCUUGUUGUCAGUUACUAACAGGUCAUGCUGAGGACUCUGACAAGACUGCCAUCGUAAGAUGUGAGGAAGGUGGGGAUGACGUCAAAUCAGCACGGCCCUUACGUCCGGGGCUACACACGUGUUACAAUGGGGGGUACAGAGGGCCGCUACCACGCGAGUGGAUGCCAAUCCCAAAAACCUCUCUCAGUUCGGACUGGAGUCUGCAACCCGACUCCACGAAGCUGGAUUCGCUAGUAAUCGCGCAUCAGCCACGGCGCGGUGAAUACGUUCCCGGGCCUUGUACACACCGCCCGUCAAGCCAUGGGAGCCGGGGGUACCUGAAGUGCGUAACCGCGAGGAGCGCCCUAGGGUAAAACUGGUGACUGGGGCUAAGUCGUAACAAGGUAGCC